GUCUUUUUGAUAAAUAAUUUAAAGUCUAAUCUGCCCCCUGAAAUUAUUUUAAAGGGCUGCGGUAUCUUAACCGUACAAAGGUAGCAUAAUAAUUAGGUUUUUAAUUGAAAUCUUGAAUGAAUGAUUGGACGAGAUAUGGGCUGUUUUAAGAUAUAAGAUAGAAUUUAAUUUUUUAGUUAAAAAGCUAAAAUAUUAUUAAAAGACGAGAAGACCCUAUAAAUCUUUAUAAUACAAUUAUUUUAAUAAGUUAUUUUAAUUAAAGCUUAUUUAAAUGAUGGAUUUAUUUUAUUGGGGUGAUAUAAAAAUUUUUUAAACUUUUUAUUAUUUAUUUACUAAAAUUAAAGAUUUUAUUAAAUGAUCUAUUAUUAAUAAAUAAAAGAAAAAGAUACUUUAGGGAUAACAGCGUAAUUUUAAUAUUAAGUUCGUAUUAUUAUUAAAGAUUGCGACCUCGAUGUUGGAUUAAAAUUUAAUUUAAAUGCAAAAGUUUAAAAAUUAAGUCUGUUCGACUUUUAAAAUUUU
This 519-nucleotide ribosomal RNA is filed under the name Nothopsyche yamagataensis. Its description in RNAcentral is "partial 16S ribosomal RNA". Lineage: Eukaryota; Metazoa; Arthropoda; Insecta; Trichoptera; Limnephilidae. The record is from RNAcentral.